This 499-nucleotide ribosomal RNA is filed under the name uncultured bacterium. Its description in RNAcentral is "partial 16S ribosomal RNA". It matches the Rfam family "Bacterial small subunit ribosomal RNA", at positions 28 to 507 of the family's 1533-position model. The record is from RNAcentral.
GACGAACGCUGGCGGCGUGCCUAAUACAUGCAAGUCGAGCGAAGUUUUUCUGGUGCUUGCACUAGAAAAACUUAGCGGCGAACGGGGGAGUAACACGUAAAGAACCUGCCUCAUAGACUGGGACAACUAUUGGAAACGAUAGCUAAUACCGGAUAACAGUAUUUCUCGCAUGAGAGAUAUUUAAAAGUUGGUUAUGCUAACACUAUGAGAUUGCUUUGCGGUGCAUUAGCUAGGUGGUGGGGUAAAGGCCCACCAAGGCGACGAUGCAUAGCCGACCUGAGAGGGUGAUCAGCCACACUGGAACUGAGACACGGCCCAGACUCCUACGGGAGGCAGCAGUAGGGAAUCUUCCGCAAUGGGCGCAAGCCUGACGGAGCCACGCCGCGUGAGUGAAGAAGGACUUCGGUUCGUAAAGCUCUGUUGUUAGGGAAGAAUGGAUAUGUAGUAACUAUACAUGUAAGAGACGGUACCUAACCAGAAAGCAACGGCUAACUACGUG